AUUGAACGCUGGCGGCAUGCUUUACACAUGCAAGUCGAACGGCAGCGCGGGCUUCGGCCUGGCGGCGAGUGGCGAACGGGUGAGUAAUACAUCGGAACGUGCCCAGUAGUGGGGGAUAGCUCGGCGAAAGCCGGAUUAAUACCGCAUACGACCUGGGGGUGAAAGCGGGGGAUCUUCGGACCUCGCGCUAUUGGAGCGGCCGAUGGCAGAUUAGCUAGUUGGUGGGGUAAAGGCCUACCAAGGCGACGAUCUGUAGCCGGUCUGAGAGGACGACCAGCCACACUGGGACUGAGACACGGCCCAGACUCCUACGGGAGGCAGCAGUGGGGAAUUUUGGACAAUGGGCGAAAGCCUGAUCCAGCAAUGCCGCGUGUGUGAUGAAGGCCUUCGGGUUGUAAAGCACUUUUGGCGGGAACGAAAAGGACUGUGCCAAUACCACGGUUCGAUGACGGUACCCGCAGAAUAAGCACCGGCUAACUACGUG
RNAcentral lists this ribosomal RNA (484 nucleotides) under uncultured bacterium. Its description in RNAcentral is "partial 16S ribosomal RNA". It matches the Rfam family "Bacterial small subunit ribosomal RNA", at positions 29 to 507 of the family's 1533-position model. The record is from RNAcentral.